This is a long non-coding RNA of Cairina moschata (Muscovy duck), 4093 nucleotides long. NCBI's taxonomy places the organism in Eukaryota, Metazoa, Chordata, Aves, Anseriformes, Anatidae. The record is from Ensembl.
UUUCAUGCACGGCUCCAGCUGUAGCUUAACCGUACCGUCAGCUCUCGUGGUGUUGCAUAAAUCAAGUGAAAAUUCUCACUUUUUCAGAUCAGUUCGUCUUCCCCUUCCCCUCCCACCUGCAUGUUCACAGCCCCGGCGUGUCCUGGGGCUUCUCAAAGCUUUGAGCAAAUCGUUCCUGGAAAGCUCUCCAGUCCCAGCCAGGGCUUAUCUUCGCACAGGACCUGCAUCUUCCAGAGCUCAUUUCCCUGAAGGAGAGCUCUCAAAAACACUCAGUACACAGAAAUGCCCCUCACAGCGCUGCUGUGCAGAUAACCCUAGAAAGCACGACGUGCCAAGACCCAGAGAUGCCAUGAGAGUUGUCACCAGGAGGACAACCUCCACCCCUCCUCACCACCUUUCUAGACAUCUACAGCACUCUCCUGCUCCUUCCAGACCUCCCCAGGUAGGUGUCAGUCCUUUUCCUGGACAAAAGGCUCUGCUGCAGCAGCAGCCACUGGCUUGGCUGCAGCGUAUUUCCUUCCACCCGGGGUACCCAUCCUCUCCAGCCCUUGCCACAGUGCUCUUGAGGCAAUGUGAAACACGCGGCCACCAGGUGCCGAGUUGUUUUGAACCUGAGAGUGAACCUGAAGCUCUUGUGACCACACGCAACAGAUGCUGUUGUUGUGGCCGUGCGUGUGGUCAGAGCCACUUCAGCGCUUCUGCUUCUCUGAUGGCCCUGUUUUUUUUAAAAUGCACUUGUGAAGUGCAUCGUGUCGGUGUUUGUGCCGUUCCUUAAACCUGCCUAAUAGGAAAUACCGCAGUCACUGAACUGCAGGCAGCUGCUCAGUACGGCAGGUACAGCUCAAAACAUGAUCACACUCUGGUAAAGCCUCAGCAGCUUUUCUGACAGUAGCGAGGGAAAACUUUUAACAUUAUUGUUCUCGGUUGGGUAAAGCUUGUUGACACGUGCUAUGGUAGCCUUAUAAUGUUAUGGCAAAAUGAGUAAAAGAUAUGUGGCAAAACUAUCUGUACAGGAAGUAUGUGGGGUGUUGAUUUAAUUUGUUGAUUUAAUUUGUUUCACCACCACCCCUUACAGAUCUCUACAAUUGAAGCACUUCUGGUAGCAAGGUGGGUGUUUUUUUUUUUUUCUUGAUCUGUUUUACUGCUAUCUUAAGUGUUUCAUUCUAACCUGUACAUGUGCUUUUAUAUAAGCACAGGCAUUUAGAUGAAAUAAAGUAUGCAUCAGUAAAUUAUUAAUGAUGAUAAAUGCUGAGAAGGAACAGAGCUUCAUUUGGCCAUGAAGGAAAGUGUAGUAGUUUCUAAAUGAUUGUGCUUCAAAAACCUUCUGUAAGGAAUAGAGAUUUGCAGACCAAAUAAAAAAAUAUUGGCUGAAACUGUCCUACUAUGCUACAACUGUGGUGAAGGCAAGCUCAGAGAAACCAGAUGAAUGCCAAAUAACAGAAGUUUCAUCCCAAAAUGAAGAGGAGAGGGUGGAACUGAUUCAAGUAAAAUUGCGGGUGCCGAGAAGUGCACCAGGAUGGGCUGAAGUAGUUUCCUACCUAGAGGAAAUGGUCUUCAACGUGGGAUGUGGGAAGAAAAUAUUUUUGGUGCAAUUAGUAAAUAAAGCUAUUUUUGAAAAAAGUGUUUCUUUCUUUCCUCUUUUUCUCAUCCUUUUUUAAUUUCUAUUUUUGUGUUUGUUUUAUGAUGUGCAUAAUAUGUUAGUACAGUAGUAAGUGUAAUUGAUUUAUAAAUAAAUGUACAUAUAAUGGAGGUGCAUGCUCAAAAAUCUUUCACUAAUUGGUGUCCACGAUCAAAAAAGUUUGGAGACCCCUGACCUGGAGGUUGAGUGGAUAUCUUUACAGAGAACCUGUGCUAUUCAUUGUAUUUGGAAGAAGCACAUCUGGAAGGUCUUCUUUCUGUGAAAAAUGUAAUUAGGGUAGGAUUUGCUUUGCCCACAGUCUUCUGUGCCAAAGAUAGAAAAAUACAGAAGGCACAAAAUAAAACCAGGGUGACUCUGUAUAAAGGUUUGAGGGGAAUCCAUGGGAUUUCUGCUGCAUUGUCUGUGUGAAAUGUUCAUAGAUUGUGCCUAAAACACGAAAAUUAAAACUGCCAUUUUUAUUACAGACCAUCUGUUGGGAAAAGCAAUAUCUUGUAGAAAACAAGCUAGUAAUACUGAAAGAAAUAGGCAAUCUUUCAAGCAGCUUUUUCAGGUCUGAAUCAGUAACUCAAGAAGUGAAUGUGGUAUUUGAAGAAGUCUUUUUCAUUUCUCAUCCAUUACCAACUCCAUUUAAUACAGAUAAUGCUUCCUCCUCCGAGUGUUUACUUAUUUCCUUAGUGUGCAAGAGCUAAAACACCACAAAUUCUGGGUGAAGAUUUUCUUUUACAACACACAAGGUUUUUCUUGGCUUGUUUGCAACACCGCUGUAAAACUGUCAGUGCUGGAACACUCUUGCUGGAGGUACAAGACACGAUGCAGGUCUGCUAUCUAAGAAACUACCGAUCUGCACAAGGCAGGAACAGCUUUUAAUCUGUAGCCAUCAGCAUUAUUCACUUUGUGCUUUCAUGUGUGAACUACCGCAGUUUCUAAAGCAAACUUUUACUUUGAAAAUCUUCUGGAAUAAUCCUGUUGUGUAGCUGAUCUGAUCUAGCAGAGGUUCUGCUGAAGCAGAUUGAGGAGGUGUGAAAAGAAAAUGGCAAAAUAUCGGUGUUAGCAGUGAACAUUCGUUUGUAAUGUUUUUGUUAGCAGUGAACAUUCAUUUGUAAUGUUUUUAUUGGGUUACCUUUAUUAUAUGAAGUGAUUUUCUUCCAGAAAAAAAAAAAAUCCAGGUGAAAUUAGUUGAGAGCAUUUUAAAUUAUAUUGACAUGCACCUCUCUUUCCUAUGGUUGUUUUUAAGCAGCUGCACAUAUCACUGAUCAGGGUGGAUGAUGAGUAAGAAGAGGCCAAUGUAGUCUAAUUCAAUAAUGGGAGUAGCAAUGACUGACAAAUUUUCCAGAAAUGAUUCUCAUUUUUACAAGAUUAGAUCUUUUAGGGAAACAAACAAACAAACAAACAAAAACUGUAGGCUUGCCAGUGUUAGAUUAUUCGCUGUGAUUUAUAGUGAUUGCAAGUCUUCUUAUUCCAUAGUUUACAAUACAGAGUUGUUUUGUGUGUGUUUUUUCUUUAAACAUUUUCUAGCUUCAAAUUCUGAUAGUUUUGCCAUGAAAAAUUAUUACUGAUUUUUUGUUCCCUAUUGUCAUUACUUGUAUUUUAUGAUCUUGUAACUCCUUAGCUCUCUCUUCAAUAUACUAUACUGGCUAACCUUCUUUGAUAUGUUUCCCUGAAAAAGGCUUUCUCAUUGCACAGUGAUUUUCAUGCCCCUUUUCAGGUUCAUCUCUGCUUUGCCAACAUGUCAAAACUAGACACAGUAUGUCAGCAGCCAGUGGCAACUCCAGAGCUGAUAUAACUCCUGUCCUCCUUGUGAUUUCUCUGUUUAUACACCCAAGGUUGCAGGAACAUGUUUUUUUUUGGCCACGGCCACAUCUUGGCAGCUGGAAAUUCCACCAUGACUUAUUUGUCCUUUUCAUUUUUCCCAGGAUAAAGUCUUCUGCCAUGCAAGUACAGCCUCCACUCUGUGAUCUUAAAUGAACGUGCUCAUUGAUGACCCUAUUGACACAUAUGUUUGCUUGCCCCCAACUUCCAAACGACCAGGUCACCCUGUACCAGUGCUCUACCCAUUUAAUUAUUUACCCUUCCCUCAGGCCUUGUGUCAUUUGUGAGGUUUAUCAGUGAUGAUGCUCUGUUUUCUUCCAGGCCAUCGAUAAAAAUGCUGAAUAUUUUAGAAUCCAGCCUAAAUGUGGUUAGAACCCAGACAACUUCCGAGCUUAGAGUAAUGAGGUGCUGGUGAACCAGCAACAUGAUUUUAAAAGGUGUGCCAUGCUGAAAAGGGUUUUUUUAACUAAAAAUACCCAUCACUGAUGUCACCUUUACCAUCCUAGCCUCUUAUCCCACUGAAAAAAAUGCUUCCUGGCCGCCCAAGAAGAGGAGCUGGAUGGGGUCCUUUCCCCAGAAGUCCCCAGAGAUGUGAAAACCUUGGACGUGACUCCGUUUGCUGGGUGUGCGUUUGCUGGUUUGGAG